Molecule: ribosomal RNA, 442 nt
Filed under: uncultured bacterium
Lineage: Bacteria
Description: partial 16S ribosomal RNA
Rfam family: Bacterial small subunit ribosomal RNA
Source: RNAcentral
CUACGGGGCGCUGCAGUGGGGAAUAUUGGACAAUGGGCUAAGGCCUGAUCCAGCAAUUCUGUGUGGAUGAUGAAGGUUUUCGGAUCGUAAAAUCCUUUCAGUUGGGAAGAAGUAAGUGACGGUACCAACAGAAGAAGCAACGGCUAAUUACGUGCCAGCAGCCGCGGUAAGACGUAAGUUGCAAGCGUUAUCCGGAAUUACUGGGCAUAAAGGGCAUCUAGGCGGUUCGAUAAGUCAGAAGUGAAAAUUCAGGGCUCAACCCUGUCCUUGCUUUUGAAACUGUGGAACUGGAGUGCAGGAGAGGAGGGCUGAACUACAAGUGUAGAGGUGAAAUUCGUAGAUAUUUGUAGGAAUGCCAAUGACGAAGGUAGCUCUCUGGACUGCAACUGACGCUGAAGUGCGAAAGCUAGGGUAGCAAACGGGAUUAGAUACCCUAGUAGUC